GGUGUAGCGCAGUUGGCUAGCGCGCAUGAUUUGGGAUCAUGAGGCCGAGGGUUCGAGUCCCCCCACC
RNAcentral lists this transfer RNA (67 nucleotides) under bovine gut metagenome. It matches the Rfam family "tRNA". From Rfam's summary of the family: Transfer RNA (tRNA) molecules are approximately 80 nucleotides in length. The record is from RNAcentral.